Molecule: ribosomal RNA, 253 nt
Filed under: uncultured bacterium
Lineage: Bacteria
Description: partial 16S ribosomal RNA
Rfam family: Bacterial small subunit ribosomal RNA
Source: RNAcentral
UACGUAGGGGGCGAGCGUUGUCCGGAUUUAUUGGGCGUAAAGAGCUCGUAGGCGGUCGUGUAAGUCGGGUGUGAAAUCUCCGGGCUCAACUCGGAGGGGCCACCCGAUACUGCUCGACUCGAGUCCGGUAGGGGAGUGGGGAAUUCCUGGUGUAGCGGUGAAAUGCGCAGAUAUCAGGAGGAACACCGGUGGCGAAGGCGCCACUCUGGGCCGGUACUGACGCUGAGGAGCGAAAGCGUGGGUAGCAAACAGG